AACGAACGCUGGCGGCAGGCCUAACACAUGCAAGUCGAGCGCGCCCUUCGGGGUGAGCGGCGGACGGGUGAGUAACGCGUGGGAACGUGCCCUUUUCUACGGAAUAGCCUCGGGAAACUGAGAGUAAUACCGUAUACGCCCUUUGGGGGAAAGAUUUAUCGGAAAAGGAUCGGCCCGCGUUGGAUUAGGUAGUUGGUGGGGUAAUGGCCUACCAAGCCGACGAUCCAUAGCUGGUUUGAGAGGAUGAUCAGCCACACUAGGACUGAGACACGGCCCAGACUCCUACGGGAGGCAGCAGUGAGGAAUCUUAGACAAUGGGGGCAACCCUGAUCGAGCCAUGCCGCGUGAGUGAUGAAGGCCUUAGGGUUGUAAAGCUCUUUCAGCUGGGAAGAUAAUGACGGUACCAGCAGAAGAAGCCCCGGCUAACUCCGUG
RNAcentral lists this ribosomal RNA (433 nucleotides) under uncultured bacterium. RNAcentral describes it as "partial 16S ribosomal RNA". It matches the Rfam family "Bacterial small subunit ribosomal RNA", at positions 29 to 507 of the family's 1533-position model. The record is from RNAcentral.